AUUGAACGCUGGCGGCAGGCCUAACACAUGCAAGUCGAACGAGCGGCGGACGGGUGAGUAAUGUCUGGGAAUCUGCCUGAUGGAGGGGGAUAACUACUGGAAACGGUAGCUAAUACCGCAUACCAUCGGAUGAGCCCAGAUGGGAUUAGCUAGUAGGUGGGGUAAAGGCUCACCUAGGCGACGAUCCCUAGCUGGUCUGAGAGGAUGACAGGCCAGACUGGAACUGAGACACGGCCCAGACUCCGACGGGAGGCAGCAGUGGGGAAUAUUGCACAAUGGGCGCAAGCCUGAUGCAGCCAUGCCGCGUGUAUGAAGAAGGCCUUAGGGUUGUAAAGUACUUUCAGCGGGGAGGCGUUACCCGCAGAAGAAGCACCGGCUAACUCCGUGCCAGCAGCCGCGGUAAUUC
This 406-nucleotide ribosomal RNA is filed under the name uncultured bacterium. Its description in RNAcentral is "partial 16S ribosomal RNA". It matches the Rfam family "Bacterial small subunit ribosomal RNA", at positions 30 to 526 of the family's 1533-position model. The record is from RNAcentral.